Molecule: ribosomal RNA, 434 nt
Filed under: uncultured bacterium
Lineage: Bacteria
Description: partial 16S ribosomal RNA
Rfam family: Bacterial small subunit ribosomal RNA
Source: RNAcentral
AGCGAACGCUGGCGGCAGGCCUAACACAUGCAAGUCGAACGAACCUUUCGGGGUUAGUGGCGGACGGGUGAGUAACACGUGGGAACGUGCCUUUAGGUUCGGAAUAACUCAGGGAAACUUGUGCUAAUACCGAAUGUGCCCUUCGGGGGAAAGAUUAAUCGCCUUUAGAGCGGCCCGCGUCUGAUUAGCUAGUUGUUUGAGGUAAUGGCUCACCAAGGCGACGAUCAGUAGCUGGUCUGAGAGGAUGAUCAGCCACAUUGGGACUGAGACACGGCCCAAACUCCUACGGGAGGCAGCAGUGGGGAAUCUUGCGCAAUGGGCGAAAGCCUGACGCAGCCAUGCCGCGUGAAUGAUGAAGGUCUUAGGAUUGUAAAAUUCUUUCACCGGGGACGAUAAUGACGGUACCCGGAGAAGAAGCCCCGGCUAACUUCGUG